CCAUCCCUUUUUUAGAAAUGGCUAAGAGAAAUAAAAUUCCAUAUUUUGGAUACUGACAACAAGCCAUCAGCUCCUGAUAUAUCUCCACUGGUCACUUGGAACAUAGAUUGCAACAGUCCAGAAAUAACUACGAAAAAAAAUGGCGUCAUCAUUGGAAUAUGGGAUGAUAAAGAUGAAUUUAAGGAUCUUGACAAAGUGAAGUGUUUCAACUGGGAUGCUUCAGAUCUCUUCAGCGAUAAACCAUCGCGAUUGCUUUACAUUUAUUUAGAAGAUUACAGACAAUGCCCCAAAGACUAUGUACUAACAGCUAUCACUGCAAGUAAUGCUGCAUUUCGGAAUGUGGACAACGGGAAAUGUACUCCACUCAGAGAGGGUUACCAUAUAGAUUACGAGCACUGUGUGACAGUUCAAUCUGAAGGAAGAGACGGAGGUAGUAUUGACAAAUGGAGACCAUGGAAAGUCCAGUGUCCAACUGCUGGACCUAUGGUGGCUGUUUCAUUACACAGAAGACGAAGGAUACACACCGGACUCAAAUGUUGCCUACUGAUUGGACUAACACUAGAAUAAUAGUUAUCAUUAGGACCUUAACUGUUAUUGAUAUUCUUUGCUUCUGUUCAAGAAUUUUAGUUCUAUAGUUAAAAGUGUAACCGAAUUUCUAGUAAUAAAGCUACAGAGAACCUUAA
Molecule: non-coding RNA, 683 nt
Organism: Parasteatoda tepidariorum (common house spider)
Lineage: Eukaryota; Metazoa; Arthropoda; Arachnida; Araneae; Theridiidae
Source: RefSeq, a predicted model, not a curated record